GUGUCAGCCGCCGCGGUAAUACGAAGGGACCUAGCGUAGUUCGGAAUUACUGGGCUUAAAGAGCACGUAGGUGGUUAAGAAAGUUGGUGGUGAAAUCCCAAGGCUUAACUUUGGAACUGCCACCAAAACUUUUUAACUAGAGUAUGAUUGAGGUAAGCGGAAUUUCUAGUGUAGAGGUGAAAUUCGUAGAUAUUAGAAAGAACACCAAUUGCGAAGGCAGCUUUCUGGAUCAUUACUGACACUGAGGUGCGAAAGCAUGGGUAGCGAAGAGGAUUAGAUACCCUCGUAGUCCAUGCCGUAAACGAUGUGUGCUAGACGUUGGGAAUUUAUUUUUCAGUGUCGCAGCUAAAGCGUUAAGCAUACCGCCUGGGGAGUACGACCGCAAGGUUAAAACUCAAAUGAAUUGACGGGGACCCGCACAAGUAGUGGAGCAUGUGGUUUAAUUCGAAGAUACGCGCAGAACCUUACCAACACUUGACAUGUUCGUCGCGACUCUAAGAGAUUAGAGUUUUCGGUUCGGCCGGACGAAACACAGGUGCUGCAUGGCUGUCGUCAGCUCGUGUCGUGAGAUGUUGGGUUAAGUCCCGCAACGAGCGCAACCCUUACUUUUAGUUGCUACCAUUUAGUUGGGCACUCUAGAAGAACUGCCGGUGAUAAGCUGGAGGAAGGUGGGGAUGACGUCAAGUCCUCAUGGCCCUUAUGUGUUGGGCUACACACGUGCUACAAUGGUAUUUACAGUGGGAUGCAAAGAGGCAACUCCAAGCCAACCCUCAAAGAAUACCUCAGUUCGGAUUGUACUCUGCAACUCGAGUACAUGAAGCUGGAAUUACUAGUAAUCGCGGAUCAGCGCGCCGCGGUGAAUACGUUCCCGGGU
This 874-nucleotide ribosomal RNA is filed under the name uncultured bacterium. Its description in RNAcentral is "bacterial SSU rRNA". It matches the Rfam family "Bacterial small subunit ribosomal RNA", at positions 505 to 1379 of the family's 1533-position model. The record is from RNAcentral.